UACGAAGGGUGCAAGCGUUGUUCGGAAUUACUGGGGCGUAAAGCACACGUAGGCGGCUUUUUUAAGUCAGAGGUGAAAUCCCCGGGGCUCAACCCCCGGAACUGCCUUUGAAACUGGAAAGCUAGAAUCUUGGAGAGGCGAGUGGAAUUCCGAGUGUAGAGGUGAAAUUCGUAGAUAUUCGGAAGAACACCAGUGGCGAAGGCGACUCGCUGGACAAGUAUUGACGCUGAGGUGCGAAAGCGUGGGGAGCAAAACAGGAUUAGAUACCCGCGUAGU
RNAcentral lists this ribosomal RNA (276 nucleotides) under uncultured bacterium. Its description in RNAcentral is "partial 16S ribosomal RNA". It matches the Rfam family "Bacterial small subunit ribosomal RNA", at positions 524 to 794 of the family's 1533-position model. The record is from RNAcentral.